Molecule: transfer RNA, 71 nt
Filed under: Bos taurus (domestic cattle)
Lineage: Eukaryota; Metazoa; Chordata; Mammalia; Artiodactyla; Bovidae
Also listed under: 2 other names
Rfam family: tRNA
About the family: Transfer RNA (tRNA) molecules are approximately 80 nucleotides in length. Their secondary structure includes four short double-helical elements and three loops (D, anti-codon, and T loops). Further hydrogen bonds mediate the characteristic L-shaped molecular structure. tRNAs have two regions of fundamental functional importance: the anti-codon, which is responsible for specific mRNA codon recognition, and the 3' end, to which the tRNAs corresponding amino acid is attached (by aminoacyl-tRNA synthetases). tRNAs cope with the degeneracy of the genetic code in two manners: having more than one tRNA (with a specific anti-codon) for a particular amino acid; and 'wobble' base-pairing, i.e. permitting non-standard base-pairing at the 3rd anti-codon position.
Source: Rfam by way of RNAcentral
UCCUAGUAGCUCAGACAGUAAAGCAUCUGCCUGCAAUGCAGGAGACGCGGGUUUGGUCCCUGUGCUGGGAA